Molecule: long non-coding RNA, 813 nt
Organism: Chinchilla lanigera (long-tailed chinchilla)
Lineage: Eukaryota; Metazoa; Chordata; Mammalia; Rodentia; Chinchillidae
Exons: 3
Source: RefSeq, a predicted model, not a curated record
UCAUGUGCUCACUUUUAAAAAUUUUGUUUUUCUCUCCUACUGUUUUUCAGUGUAUUUACGUAGAACACACACACCUGCCAUUAUUCAUUAGAUCUUUAAGGAGGACCAGUUCCCCUCAAGGAUAAAGUAGAUUUUGUUUGGAAAGACUGUCCCCCUUUGUGGAAAGAAUUUUCCUCUGGUCACCUGAUUGUAACAAGGGAGACAACAAGCAUUUCCCAAAGGACCAGCCCUUAGUGGCCACUAUGUCCUCAAGCCCUAGGAAUCCUCACUGUUGGGACCAACAGAGGCACAUCUAGCUGAUUGUUUCCCCAGGUUGCACCUAUAUACGUACCAUACUUGGCUGUCAGGAAGAGAGAGGUGCAAGAGUGGGUAGGGGUUCUGAGUUCCACCCAGGGACACCAUCCUUGUCCUCUGUCUGCAGAGCCUGGAGUACUCCUGAGGAUCCAACCUGUCCUUCGUCUACAGAGUCUGGGGUCCUCCUGAGGAUCCAUCAAGUCUCCUUCUGUCCACAGAGUCUAGUGUCCCUCCUGGGGAUCCAUCCAGUCCUCCUCUUUAGUGUCCCUCCUGAGGAUCCAACCAGUUCUCCUUGAUCCAGGACAGGAGACACUGAGGGAUUAUGAUAUCACAAUGUAAUGAUUUUUUUAAAUCAAAUUUUCCUUAGUGCCUAGUACUAUGAUAACUAAACAGAAACAAACUUCCAUAAACCAUAGAAUCAAGUAGAAACCAGAUUAAGGUAAAUCCUUCCAAGUCAAAGGGAGAAUGAGGUAACUGGACUUAUUUCUAUAUAUUCAUACAGUUUGAGAAGAUACAUGC